This 292-nucleotide ribosomal RNA is filed under the name uncultured Stenotrophomonas sp. Its description in RNAcentral is "partial 16S ribosomal RNA". It matches the Rfam family "Bacterial small subunit ribosomal RNA", at positions 390 to 674 of the family's 1533-position model. Lineage: Bacteria; Pseudomonadati; Pseudomonadota; Gammaproteobacteria; Lysobacterales; Lysobacteraceae. The record is from RNAcentral.
AGCCAUACCGCGUGGGUGAAGAAGGCCUUCGGGUUGUAAAGCCCUUUUGUUGGGAAAGAAAUCCAGCUGGCUAAUACCCGGUUGGGAUGACGGUACCCAAAGAAUAAGCACCGGCUAACUUCGUGCCAGCAGCCGCGGUAAUACGAAGGGUGCAAGCGUUACUCGGAAUUACUGGGCGUAAAGCGUGCGUAGGUGGUCGUUUAAGUCCGUUGUGAAAGCCCUGGGCUCAACCUGGGAACUGCAGUGGAUACUGGGCGACUAGAGUGUGGUAGAGGGUAGCGGAAUUCCUGGU